CCUCUUUUGUGCUUUGGUUCACUGAGGAUGACAAGUCAGGGGGACUUUGGUUGAAAAUAUCUGGGAAAGAGGGAAGUCAAGAAAAAAGGCCUUUUUAUUUUUAAGAGGUGGCAUUGACUCUUCUAUCUAAUUCAAUUAUCUUCAGAGUUUCAUUUCCUUCUAUUUCAGAGUUGACUCUGUGUUGCUGUAGGCCCAGCAGCACUGAUUUCUCUAGCCGUGUCUCAUUGGCUAUUGUGAACUCCAUGAUAUCAUCCUGCUGCAUCACCGGCACAGCUUCCAGAGCUAGCGCCGCAUACUUGGGGGUGUCUGCAUGCCUGUCGUUUCGAUCUGCAGAUGAGAUCGGGUUUGACGACUCCUCCAGUUGGUGAGGCUCUUCAUAAAUCAGCAGACUUCGUGACCUCACAAUGGAGUCUGUGUAGGACUCUGGUGAGGAAUGCUGCCUGGGCAACACCAUCUUUGUAGCAGAAGGAUAUGGUCCAUAGCUCUGAGAGAAGCUGCCAAAAACAACUGCAAAGCACAGCACCACCAUCAUAAGACAGGUCCCUGUCUGUGUGCUAGCUGCCUUACAUGAACGGGACACCUUCCCAGCAACCAUGGCCUGGAGUCUCUGCAGCUGCUGCAGAAGUGUUCUGUUAGUACUCUCCAGGACUUCAACCUUCUUACGUAGCUCACUGUUUUCAUUUGAACAGUUCUCAACUUUUUUUUCCAGACUGUCCAUGUAUUCUUUCUUUUUUCUUCUGCUUUCCUGGGCAGAGAUCUUGUUCUUUAUUUUUCUGCGGAUUUUCUUCAGCACUUUCUCCUCUGCUUUCGUCAGGGGCAGUUUGGUAGGGAUUGGGUACCCCUCUGCUAUCAGUGUCCUCUUCUCCUCCUCUGUCAGGAUGAGUGGGCCAGUCCCCUGCAACUUAUGUGGUGCAGUCAGGAGAGGGGAAUUGGAGAGCGCUGAAGCUGUGCGUGACACCACUUUAGCUGCGGCUUGCAGCUGGAUUGGGCUUGAAGGAGGGAGAGAUCUAGCUGGGCUCUGCCCUCCUUCAGAGUCACUGCCAUGACUGCU
This 1051-nucleotide long non-coding RNA is filed under the name Gallus gallus (chicken). The record is from RNAcentral. Lineage: Eukaryota; Metazoa; Chordata; Aves; Galliformes; Phasianidae.